This 449-nucleotide ribosomal RNA is filed under the name uncultured bacterium. Its description in RNAcentral is "partial 16S ribosomal RNA". It matches the Rfam family "Bacterial small subunit ribosomal RNA", at positions 29 to 523 of the family's 1533-position model. The record is from RNAcentral.
AACGAACGCUGGCGGCAUGCCUAACACAUGCAAGUCGUACGAGACCUUCGGGUCUAGUGGCGCACGGGUGCGUAACGCGUGGGAAUCUGCCCUUGGGUUCGGAAUAACAGUUGGAAACGACUGCUAAUACCGGAUGAUGACUUCGGUCCAAGGAUUUAUCGCCCAGGGAUGAGCCCGCGUAGGAUUAGCUUGUUGGUGAGGUAAAGGCUCACCAAGGCGACGAUCCUUAGCUGGUCUGAGAGGAUGAUCAGCGACACUGGGACUGAGACACGGCCCAGACUCCUGCGGGAGGCAGCAGUGGGAAAUAUUGGACAAUGGGCGAAAGCCUGAUCCAGCAAUGCCGCGUGAGGGAUGAAGGCCGUAGGGUUGUAAAGCUCUUUUACCCGGGAUGAUAAUGACAGUACCGGGAGAAUAAGCCCCGGCUAACUCCGUGCCAGCCGCCGCGGUAA